ACGUAUGGGGCAAGCGUUAUCCGGAUUUACUGGGUGUAAAGGGAGCGUAGGCGGCAUGGCAAGUCAGAAGUGAAAGCCUGGGGCUCAACCCUGGAAUUGCUUUUGAAACUGUCAGGCUAGAGUGUCGGAGGGGUAAGCGGAAUUCCUAGUGUAGCGGUGAAAUGCGUAGAUAUUAGGAGGAACACCGGUGGCGAAGGCGGCUUACUGGACGAUUACUGACGCUGAGGCUCGAAAGCGUGGGGAGCAAACAG
RNAcentral lists this ribosomal RNA (251 nucleotides) under uncultured bacterium. RNAcentral's name for it is "partial 16S ribosomal RNA". It matches the Rfam family "Bacterial small subunit ribosomal RNA", at positions 525 to 775 of the family's 1533-position model. The record is from RNAcentral.